This 207-nucleotide ribosomal RNA is filed under the name uncultured bacterium. RNAcentral describes it as "partial 16S ribosomal RNA". It matches the Rfam family "Bacterial small subunit ribosomal RNA", at positions 568 to 774 of the family's 1533-position model. The record is from RNAcentral.
CUCGUAGGCGGCUCCGUAAGUCAGAGGUGAAAUCCAAUGGCUCAACCAUUGACACGCCUUUGAAACUACAGAGCUUGAGUUCAGGAGAGGAAAGUGGAAUUCCUGGUGUAGCGGUGAAAUGCGUAGAUAUCAGGAGGAACACCAGUGGCGAAGGCGGCUUUCUGGACUGAUACUGACGCUGAGGAGCGAAAGCCAGGGGAGCGAACG